This 367-nucleotide transfer-messenger RNA is filed under the name Ferriphaselus amnicola. Its description in RNAcentral is "Standard tmRNA". It matches the Rfam family "transfer-messenger RNA". From Rfam's summary of the family: Bacterial tmRNA, also known as 10Sa RNA or SsrA, is named for its dual tRNA and mRNA-like properties. The record is from Rfam by way of RNAcentral. Lineage: Bacteria; Pseudomonadati; Pseudomonadota; Betaproteobacteria; Nitrosomonadales; Gallionellaceae.
GGGGGCGACUUGGCUUCGACGUGGGUUGCAAAGCAGCGUAGGGCAUACCGAGGACCCGCAACCUCGUAAAUCAGCUGGAAAACAAAUAGUCGCAAACGACGAAACUUACGCACUGGCCGCUUAAGGCCUGCCCUCACACCCCGUUGUCCAUGGAGGGGCUCGAUACCGCAAGGUUGAGAUGAGUGAGGUCAUUACAUGGAAUCGUGCGGCGUAGGGUUACUUUACGCAGCACUAAACGCAAGGUAACUCGUCCCGUACCAGCCUGCCGAUUGGCGUGUCCGGGCCUAAAACAAAUAAUCAGGCUAAGUAUGUAGAACUAUCUGUAGAGGACUCGCGGACGGGGGUUCAAUUCCCCCCGCCUCCACCA